CUUACAGUCAUAGUUGAUAAUGACAAAGUUAUCAAGUAUUGCAUUAUUCAAAUAUAAUUUCAGGUUAUGCAGGUUGUUGAGAGCAAUUAAUAUGAUGAGGGAAGGCAGGAAAGAGUACCAGUCUUAUAGUCUGUAUGUACUCGUGGCAAAAUGGUGUUCGAGCGUUGGCGAAUAAGGAUUUGCUUGCAGCGUUGAAGAACGAUAAUUUGCAAAGAACAGAAAGAAAGGUUCUCUUAACAUAGAAAGUAAAGAAAUAAUGAAGUUCACACUACAGUUGACAAUAUGGAUGUGUUUCCUUUGUUAUUUGAACAUGAUUUAUUUUAACUUACAUAACAAGUAUGCACUACAAUAAUGAAUAUCUAUAUUAAUAGUAAUGAUAUUCCAUUAAACAUGGAUAUGGAAAAAAUAUUCUUUGACAGUGCAAGAUAAGAUAAAUCCAGACAUAGUUUCAUCCACAUACUUGAUAUUUGUCUUGUAACUACAUGUAUUUUAUGAGGUUAAGUGGUGAGUAAUCAACUUUUAUCAUAACAGUUUCUUAUUUGGGGAUAGUAUGUAUUUAUGUUGACACUGUGUACCUUCAUUCUCUUCAUUUUUCUGUACGAAACAAGACCAAAUGUGUCAUUUUAGUUUAACCGUUUUAAACUGUAUUUAUUAUACUCUUCAUUGAAUAGCCUAACAAAUUUAAAUGUGUUGUUAUUUUGAUUAUAUUGUAUCGGUGUCAUAAGGUACAUGUACAUGUCCAUUCCUAGCCUUCAAGAUAAAACAGAUAUAUUCUUUGUUGUAAAAUGUGUUCUUUAUGCAUAAACUACUAACUUACAUUUUUCCGCUUAACAAGUAUUCCAACAUGCUACACAUUUACUCACCGGUUGUCUAAAGUACCCGCCAACGUUGGUCGUCCCCGCAUAUCUGUCAAUAAU
Molecule: long non-coding RNA, 917 nt
Organism: Mya arenaria
Lineage: Eukaryota; Metazoa; Mollusca; Bivalvia; Myida; Myidae
Exons: 3
Source: RefSeq, a predicted model, not a curated record